UUUCUUAAAGAAGAAGACAAAAGAAAAAGACCCAAAAAUCAAAGUCAAUCAAAGGUAUGUAAUAUAUAUACAUACGAUCCAAAAAAAAACCCUAAAUCUCGUUGUCUAACAAGCUAAAAUGAAACAGGAAAGUGUUGUUCCUUUCUUUUUAAUUACUCUUUUUGCAAUUGUCUUCAUUCUUUCUAGGAUGACAAUUGUCCAAGCACAAAUACGAUCACCACCAUUUCUUUGGGCCAGUUGUAAUUGGGAUGAAAUGGCAAUUUACGAGAAGGAAAAAAAGGUAAUUUUUUAUUAAUAUUUGUAAAAGCUGUAAUUUGUUGAAUUUAUCAUGACACCGAUUUUGGUUAUUGUAUUUUAAUUUUAAUUCGACCGGUUAGUGGCACCAAUGAACCACACCAAGUGAAGGGGGCGGCUAGGGACAAAAGGAUAAGCUCACAAUAGGUCAUAUCCAUUACGGGUGUUUGAUUUGGUGUAUACAUCUUGUAUUUCAUAAGUCAUGUUCAUUAUGGAUGUUUGAUUAUUAAUCAUGUACAAUGAUAAAUUGUAAGGAAUAAAUGUUGUUAUAAUGGAUGAAUAUAUAUUAUUAUUAUCGGUAAAAUAUGUAACUAUGUUGUUAUAACUGAAUAAAAAAUAUAAUAAUGUUGCUAUUAUAAAUAAGAAUAUCGUUUAGACCUCUUCGUAUUGAAGAGACAAUAUGUAUCUUAGGGGCUCUUUGGCAGGAUCUGAAUUUUUAAGAUCUGAAUUUUUAAAAUGUUGUUUGGUUGGAACCUCUGAAUUGUUGUGUUGAAUUAUCAAAAUGACCUUUAUAC
RNAcentral lists this long non-coding RNA (809 nucleotides) under Lactuca sativa (garden lettuce). Its description in RNAcentral is "long non-coding RNA (LSAT_LNC004011)". The record is from RNAcentral. Lineage: Eukaryota; Viridiplantae; Streptophyta; Magnoliopsida; Asterales; Asteraceae.